AGUGAACGCUGGCGGUAGGCCUAACACAUGCAAGUCGAACGGCAGCACAGUAAGAGCUUGCUCUUACGGGUGGCGAGUGGCGGACGGGUGAGGAAUACAUCGGAAUCUACUUUUUCGUGGGGGAUAACGUAGGGAAACUUACGCUAAUACCGCAUACGACCUACGGGUGAAAGCAGGGGAUCUUCGGACCUUGCGCGAUUGAAUGAGCCGAUGUCGGAUUAGCUAGUUGGCGGGGUAAAGGCCCACCAAGGCGACGAUCCGUAGCUGGUCUGAGAGGAUGAUCAGCCACACUGGAACUGAGACACGGUCCAGACUCCUACGGGAGGCAGCAGUGGGGAAUAUUGGACAAUGGGCGAAAGCCUGACCGAGCCAUACCGCGUGGGUGAAGAAGGCCUUCGGGUUGUAAAGCCCUGUUGUUGGGAAAGAACAUAUGCAGGUUAAUACCCGGCUGUCCUGACGGUACCCAAUGAAUAAGCACCGGCUAACUUCGUG
Molecule: ribosomal RNA, 492 nt
Filed under: uncultured bacterium
Lineage: Bacteria
Description: partial 16S ribosomal RNA
Rfam family: Bacterial small subunit ribosomal RNA
Source: RNAcentral